CCUACGGGAGGCAGCAGUCGAGAAUCAUUCACAAUGGGGGAAACUCUGAUGGUGCGACGCCGCGUGGGGGAAUGAAGGUCUUCGGAUUGUAAACCCCUGUCACGUGGGAGCAAAUUAAAAAGAUAGUACCACAAGAGGAAGAGACGGCUAACUCUGUGCCAGCAGCCGCGGUAAUACAGAGGUCUCAAGCGUUGUUCGGAAUCACUGGGCGUAAAGCGUGCGUAGGCUGUUUCGUAAGUCGUGUGUGAAAGGCGCGGGCUCAACCCGCGGACGGCACAUGAUACUGCGAGACUAGAGUAAUGGAGGGGGAACCGGAAUUCUCGGUGUAGCAGUGAAAUGCGUAGAUAUCGAGAGGAACACUCGUGGCGAAGGCGGGUUCCUGGACAUUAACUGACGCUGAGGCACGAAGGCCAGGGGAGCGAAAGGGAUUAGAUACCCCUGUAGUC
RNAcentral lists this ribosomal RNA (446 nucleotides) under uncultured bacterium. RNAcentral's name for it is "partial 16S ribosomal RNA". It matches the Rfam family "Bacterial small subunit ribosomal RNA", at positions 338 to 795 of the family's 1533-position model. The record is from RNAcentral.